UGAAAUGUUGGUUCACAAAAA
This 21-nucleotide non-coding RNA is filed under the name Caenorhabditis elegans. The record is from RNAcentral. Lineage: Eukaryota; Metazoa; Nematoda; Chromadorea; Rhabditida; Rhabditidae.